CAACGCGUUGGAUGCAUAGCUUGAGUAUUCUAUAGUGUCACCUAAAUAGCUUGGCGUAAUCAAUGGUCAUAUGCUGUUUCCAUCCUUUUGAACAAAAGUUCAAUCGGGAAAUGUUUUUUCGCUAAAGGAUGGGGCUAUACGGUAUCAGCUUGUUGGUGAGGUAAGAGCUCACCAAGGCAAUGACGCCUAGCUGGUCUGAGAGGAUGAUCAGCCACACUGGAACUGAGACACGGUCCAGACUCCUACGGGAGGCAGCAGUGAGGAAUAUUGCACAAUGGGGGAAACCCUGAUGCAGCAACGCCGCGUGGAGGAUGACGCAUUUCGGUGUGUAAACUCCUUUUAUCAAGGAAGAAAUUUGACGGUACUUGAUGAAUAAGCACCGGCUAACUCCGUGCCAGCAGCCGC
This 405-nucleotide ribosomal RNA is filed under the name uncultured bacterium. RNAcentral's name for it is "bacterial SSU rRNA". It matches the Rfam family "Bacterial small subunit ribosomal RNA", at positions 100 to 518 of the family's 1533-position model. The record is from RNAcentral.